AGCCCUCAGCGUACAUGCCAGCUAAUUACAGAUGCAGGAGCAAACCCCUGGCCCAUACAUCAGUUGGGUGUGGUGACUCACACCUGCAAUCCCAGCACUUCAGGAGGCUGAAGAGAGCAGAUCACUUGCGGCCAGGAGUUCGAGACCAGUCUGGGCAACAUAAUGGAGUUUCGCUCUUGUUGCCCAGGCUGGAGUGCAACGGCACGAUCUCAGCUCACCGCAACCUCAGCCUCCCAAGUUCAAGCAAUUCUCCUGCCUCAGCGUCCUGAGUAGCUGGAAUUACAGAUUUUGAGUCUUGCUCUAUGGCCCAGACUGGAGUGCAGUGGCGUGAUCUCAGCUCACUUCAACCUCCACCUCCCGGGUUCGAGAGAGAUUCUCCUGCCUCAUCCUCCCGAGUAGCUGGGAUCACCGGCGCCCACAACCACACCCGGCUAAUUUUUGUACUUUUAGUGGAGACAGGGUUUCACCAUGUUGGCUAGGCUGGUCACAAACUCCCGACCUCAGGUUAUCCAUCUGCCUUGGCCUCCCAAAGUGCUGGGAUUACAGGCGUGAGCCCCCGCACCUGGCCAAGAUCAGCUAG
RNAcentral lists this long non-coding RNA (580 nucleotides) under Homo sapiens (human). RNAcentral describes it as "non-protein coding lnc-RPS27A-1:24". Lineage: Eukaryota; Metazoa; Chordata; Mammalia; Primates; Hominidae. The record is from RNAcentral.